Molecule: ribosomal RNA, 254 nt
Filed under: uncultured bacterium
Lineage: Bacteria
Description: partial 16S ribosomal RNA
Rfam family: Bacterial small subunit ribosomal RNA
Source: RNAcentral
UACGUAGGGGGCAAGCGUUGUCCGGAUUUAUUGGGCGUAAAGGGCUCGUAGGCGGCCAACUAAGUCGGAUGUGAAAUCCCCAGGCUUAACCUGGGAACUGCAUCCGAUACUGGUUGGCUAGAAUCCGGGAGAGGGAUGCGGAAUUCCAGGUGUAGCGGUGAAAUGCGUAGAUAUCUGGAGGAACACCGGUGGCGAAGGCGGCAUCCUGGACCGGCAUUGACGCUGAGUGAGCGAAAGCCAGGGGAGCAAACGGG